AAUCAAGUUCCUGUACUUUUAACUUGUCUAAUCAUGCCAUGCUACUUACACGGAUUUUCUAAUCGAGUCCAUCCUUCAUCAUAUUGGACCAAAUUCAGCUGAGGCGGCUGUAGGACGACGUGAAAGUAUAACACUGAUAGAAUAUGCAUGACACGUUGUGGAUAAACUUCAGCCAAUAUGGACCCCUAUGUGGACCCACAUUGGAAAACUUUUGUCCACGUCACACUAUGAUGUCGUCCAACAAUCAUGUCAGCUGAAUUUGGCAAUAAUAAGUGUCAAAGGGACUUGAUUAGUUAAAUAGUGAAAGUAGAAGAACUUUGAUUAGACAAAUUAAAAGUGCAGAAACUUGAUUAGAAAAGACUUGAAAGCAUUGCUACAAAAAUAGAUUUUUCCUACUCCUGACGAUAGUGCAUCAAACUUAUCAAACAUUAACACGUCGGAGUUACAUAUCAAUGUGCAACACUCCCAUCUCCACCUUCAGUUCAGUCUCAGUUUCAGUUGUGUAAAGUUUAUGGCUGAUUUUAUGGCUCAAGAUGUGUUAUUCCUGCAUGUAUAGCCUCUUAUGGGGAUGCUUUUAGUUUGUUUUAUGACGUGGUUACGCCGUGACAUCACACUUCAAAUAUUCCAGUCUGAAUCCUUGCUGUAGCUGCCCUGCUUACCUGUGUCUUGUACAUCAACAGACUUUUGGUUUCUUUUUCAAUUGUAAAUAAUCUUAAGCAUUAUUCUUGGAUAAUGACUAUAACAUUAUUUAAUUGACCUCUAGGAUUCUAAUAAAUUGCAGGUACUGAAUCCCAGCCUAAGUCUACAUCUGCUUCUCCCCCUGUUCAAACAUUCUUUUCAAAUUCAAAGGUUUCGGCAUCUACAGGAGGAAAGGCCUCACUUCAGCCCAAACGAACAGCUGUCUCCCAGGAGGAGAUCGAGGCUAUUUUGUUGGGUGGCUGCCUCUGAUCGCAAAACGGAGCUGCUAGAGAGCUGCUGAUGUUGCUGGAAUUUCAUUCUUGACGAUUUAUGCCUUAUCUUGUACUUUAUAUUGGUUGGUGAUGUAUCUUGUACUUGCAUCUUCUGUUGUUUUUUUAUAUCUAGAACACCCACUGGCAAUUCUGAAUGAGGACGCAGUAUAGAUCACUUGAAAAUUCAUCUUA
Rhodamnia argentea is the source of this 1142-nucleotide long non-coding RNA. RefSeq lists it as uncharacterized. The transcript is spliced from 2 exons. The record is from RefSeq and is a predicted model, not a curated record. Lineage: Eukaryota; Viridiplantae; Streptophyta; Magnoliopsida; Myrtales; Myrtaceae.